AUACGAAGGGUGCAAGCGUUAAUCGGAAUUACUGGGCGUAAAGCGCGCGUAGGUGGUUUUGUAAGUUGGAGGUGAAAGCCCCGGGCUCAACCUGGGAAUUGCCUCCAAAACUGCAUGACUAGAGUACGGUAGAGGGUAGUGGAAUUUCCUGUGUAGCGGUGAAAUGCGUAGAUAUAGGAAGGAACACCAGUGGCGAAGGCGACUACCUGGACUGAUACGGACACUGAGGUGCGAAAGCGUGGGGAGCAAACAGGAUUAGAUCCCCUGGUAGUCCACGCCGUAAACGAUGUCAACUAGCCGUUGGGAUCCUUGAGAUCUUAGUGGCGCAGCUAACGCAUUAAGUUGACCGCCUGGGGAGUACGGCCGCAAGGUUAAAACUCAAAUGAAUUGACGGGG
This 396-nucleotide ribosomal RNA is filed under the name uncultured bacterium. RNAcentral's name for it is "partial 16S ribosomal RNA". It matches the Rfam family "Bacterial small subunit ribosomal RNA", at positions 523 to 918 of the family's 1533-position model. The record is from RNAcentral.